Molecule: small nucleolar RNA, 147 nt
Filed under: Chlamydomonas reinhardtii
Lineage: Eukaryota; Viridiplantae; Chlorophyta; Chlorophyceae; Chlamydomonadales; Chlamydomonadaceae
Description: CrACA24a snoRNA
Source: RNAcentral
GGCCUGCAUUGGCGACGCCAUGCCCCAACACCAUGGCAUGGAACGUCAUGCAUUUGCGGGCCACAUCAGGCUUCACGCCGCGUCCGGAGCUAGAGCUGCAGCCGCCCUGACUCGUGGGCCCUGCGGUGUAGAACUCGGGACACACUU